CAGCCCUAAACGAUGCGCGUUAGGUGUAUCGGUGACCACGAGUCACCGAGGUGCCGAAGGGAAACCGUGAAACGUGCCGCCUGGGAAGUACGGUCGCAAGGCUGAAACUUAAAGGAAUUGGCGGGGGGAGCACCACAACGGGUGGAGCCUGCGGUUUAAUUGGACUUCAACGCCGGGAAGCUCACCGGAUAAGACAGCGGAAUGAUUGCCGGGCUGAAGACCCUGCAUUGACCAGCUGAGAGGAGGUGCAUGGCGUAGUCGUGU
This 264-nucleotide ribosomal RNA is filed under the name uncultured archaeon. Its description in RNAcentral is "partial 16S ribosomal RNA". It matches the Rfam family "Archaeal small subunit ribosomal RNA", at positions 748 to 1009 of the family's 1478-position model. The record is from RNAcentral.